This 205-nucleotide non-coding RNA is filed under the name Clostridiales bacterium. RNAcentral describes it as "6S RNA". It matches the Rfam family "6S / SsrS RNA". From Rfam's summary of the family: E. coli 6S RNA was the first non coding RNA to be sequenced, but its function was unknown until recently. It consists of 184 nucleotides that fold into an extended hairpin structure with a large single-stranded internal bulge. Lineage: Bacteria; Bacillati; Bacillota; Clostridia; Eubacteriales. The record is from RNAcentral.
AAUACCCUGCUUUGCGCGUGAUAGGCCUUUUAAAACCCAGCACAGUAUAUAAGGGAUUCCGGAACUCUUGCGGCGGAUUGCAGGCCUCCCGGGGCUGCACGCCUGGAGCAGCCCUGGACGUUGGAAGCAGAGAAACCGCAAGGAGGAAACCCACCUGCCGAGAGGCGGGUUUAUAAAACGGCCUACACGGCACGGCGGGGUAUGU